RNAcentral lists this ribosomal RNA (516 nucleotides) under uncultured Bacillus sp. RNAcentral describes it as "bacterial SSU rRNA". It matches the Rfam family "Bacterial small subunit ribosomal RNA", at positions 8 to 507 of the family's 1533-position model. Lineage: Bacteria; Bacillati; Bacillota; Bacilli; Caryophanales; Bacillaceae. The record is from RNAcentral.
AGAGUUUGAUCCUGGCUCAGGACGAACGCUGGCGGCGUGCCUAAUACAUGCAAGUCGAGCGGACUUUAAAAGCUUGCUUUUAAAGUUAGCGGCGGACGGGUGAGUAACACGUGGGCAACCUGCCUGUAAGACUGGGAUAACUUCGGGAAACCGGAGCUAAUACCGGAUAAUCCUUUUCUACACAUGUGGAAAAAGCUGAAAGACGGUUUACGCUGUCACUUACAGAUGGGCCCGCGGCGCAUUAGCUAGUUGGUGAGGUAACGGCUCACCAAGGCAACGAUGCGUAGCCGACCUGAGAGGGUGAUCGGCCACACUGGGACUGAGACACGGCCCAGACUCCUACGGGAGGCAGCAGUAGGGAAUCUUCCGCAAUGGACGAAAGUCUGACGGAGCAACGCCGCGUGAGUGAUGAAGGUUUUCGGAUCGUAAAAACUCUGUUGUUAGGGAAGAACAAGUACAAGAGUAACUGCUUGUACCUUGACGGUACCUAACCAGAAAGCCACGGCUAACUACGUG